Molecule: ribosomal RNA, 301 nt
Filed under: uncultured bacterium
Lineage: Bacteria
Description: partial 16S ribosomal RNA
Rfam family: Bacterial small subunit ribosomal RNA
Source: RNAcentral
CAGCCGCCACGGUAACACGAAGGGGGCUAGCGUUGUUCGGAAUUACUGGGCGUAAAGCGCACGUAGGCGGAUAUUUAAGUCAGGGGUGAAAUCCCGCAGCUCAACUGCGGAACUGCCUUUGAUACUGGGUAUCUUGAGUAUGGAAGAGGUUAGUGGAAUUGCGAGUGUAGAGGUGAAAUUCGUAGAUAUUCGCAGGAACACCAGUGGCGAAGGCGGCUAACUGGUCCAUAACUGACGCUGAGGUGCGAAAGCGUGGGGAGCAAACAGGAUUAGAUACCCCAGUAGUCCCUGUCUCUUAUAA